AUUGAACGCUGGCGGCAGGCCUAACACAUGCAAGUCGAGCGGAUGAAGGGAGCUUGCUCCUGGAUUCAGCGGCGGACGGGUGAGUAAUGCCUAGGAAUCUGCCUGGUAGUGGGGGAUAACGUCCGGAAACGGGCGCUAAUACCGCAUACGUCCUGAGGGAGAAAGUGGGGGAUCUUCGGACCUCACGCUAUCAGAUGAGCCUAGGUCGGAUUAGCUAGUAGGUGGGGUAAAGGCCUACCAAGGAGACGAUCCGUAACUGGUCUGAGAGGAUGAUCAGUCACACUGGAACUGGAACACGGUCCAGACUACUACGGGAGGCAGCAGUGGGGAAUAUUGGACAAUGGGCGAAAGCCGGAUCCAGCCAUGCCGCGUGUGUGAAGAAGGUCUUCGGAUUGUAAAGCACUUAAAGUUGGGAGGAAGGGCAAUAAGUUAAUACCUUGCUGUUUUGACGUUACCAACAGAAUAAGCACCGGCUAACUACGUG
This 484-nucleotide ribosomal RNA is filed under the name uncultured bacterium. RNAcentral describes it as "partial 16S ribosomal RNA". It matches the Rfam family "Bacterial small subunit ribosomal RNA", at positions 30 to 507 of the family's 1533-position model. The record is from RNAcentral.